AUACAAAUUUGGUGUUCGGUUUGGCGCAUCUAACUUCAACUGCUGUGCUAGGAACUACAGAAGAAGGUCUAACUACAGAGUCCAAAUUAGCCGCAGUUCCAAUUGCAGCAGUUGAAAAGAGUAACUUUAAACAAAAUAUAUGCUUACCUCCUUAAUUAUUUUUUAAAUAAGAUUGGAGAUAAUCUCACCAUCAUAUAUAUAUAUAUAUAUAAUAAUGAUAAUAAUAAUAAUAAAAUUUUAAAAAUCAUUUCUCAACUGCAUGAAGUCAAACAAAUUAUUUUUAAUUGCAGUGCUUUCUACUACGUCAAACUAAAUAGGAUACAUGAAGUUGCAACUGCUGUAUUUUUAAUUUUAUGUAUCUCUAACUAUACUGUAUUCAUAAUUUCAUCAAACC
This 394-nucleotide long non-coding RNA is filed under the name Ananas comosus (pineapple). RNAcentral describes it as "long non-coding RNA (ACOM_LNC033666)". The record is from RNAcentral. Lineage: Eukaryota; Viridiplantae; Streptophyta; Magnoliopsida; Poales; Bromeliaceae.